AUUUAAAUAGUUUAAGAAAAAAAAUUUUGAUUUGUGGUGUCAAAGAUGUAGAUUAUACUUUAAAUU
Molecule: transfer RNA, 66 nt
Filed under: Ctenochauliodes griseus
Lineage: Eukaryota; Metazoa; Arthropoda; Insecta; Megaloptera; Corydalidae
Description: tRNA-His
Source: RNAcentral